Hysterangium stoloniferum is the source of this 95-nucleotide non-coding RNA. Lineage: Eukaryota; Fungi; Basidiomycota; Agaricomycetes; Hysterangiales; Hysterangiaceae. The record is from the annotation of a GenBank genome assembly.
GCCUUGGUAGCUCAAUUGGUAGAGCGUCAGACUCUUACGGUCCCUCUGACUGGGUAAGAGUCUUGAGGUUGCGGGUUUGAUUCCCGUCUGAGGCA